CCUACGGGAGGCAGCAGUGAGGAAUAUUGGUCAAUGGACGAGAGUCUGAACCAGCCAAGUAGCGUGAAGGAUGACUGCCCUAUGGGUUGUAAACUUCUUUUAUAUGGGAAUAAAAUGUUCCACGUGUGGGAUUUUGUAUGUACCAUAUGAAUAAGGAUCGGCUAACUCCGUGCCAGCAGCCGCGGUAAUACGGAGGAUUCAAGCGUUAUCCGGAUUUAUUGGGUUUAAAGGGUGCGUAGGCGGGUUAUCAAGUCAGUGGUAAAAUAGUGGAGCUCAACUCCAUCCAGCCGUUGACACUGAUGAUCGUGAGUAGGCUAGAAGUAUGCGGAAUGCGUGGUGUAGCGGUGAAAUGCAUAGAUAUCACGCAGAACUCCGAUUGCGAAGGCAGCAUACCGGCGCCCGACUGACGCUGAAGCACGAAAGCGUGGGUAUCGAACAGGAUUAGAUACCCGUGUAGUC
RNAcentral lists this ribosomal RNA (459 nucleotides) under uncultured bacterium. RNAcentral's name for it is "partial 16S ribosomal RNA". It matches the Rfam family "Bacterial small subunit ribosomal RNA", at positions 338 to 795 of the family's 1533-position model. The record is from RNAcentral.